This 23816-nucleotide long non-coding RNA is filed under the name Ananas comosus (pineapple). RNAcentral's name for it is "long non-coding RNA (ACOM_LNC028464)". The record is from RNAcentral. Lineage: Eukaryota; Viridiplantae; Streptophyta; Magnoliopsida; Poales; Bromeliaceae.
AUAAAAAAAAAAAAAAGGGUAAACUUCAAAUAUCACCUCUAUGGUUUCGCACUUUCUUACUUUAGUACCAUGUGGUUUACAGGCAUGUGGUUUCAUUUUUAUCUUUUCGUCAGCUUUUCUGUUAAUUUUUGUUAAAUUAUAUACAAAAAAUUUUAGGUACUUUAUCUAGAUUUAUCGAAUAUUCACUUUAGUAUCAUUUAGUUUUAACUUUAUUACUGAUUUAACAAAAAAAAUUAGUGGAAUCGAUAAUAAAAAAAGAAAAAUAAAAUCACGGGGUACUAAAUUGAUACAAUUUAAACCAUAUGGUACUAAAGUGGGAAAGUGUGAAACCACUAGGAUGGUAUUUGAAGUUUACCUUUUCGAAUAUGAGUAUGAAAAACGAAACACUGACAGAUUUAGAUUCGAUAUGGAUUUCGUCUGUACCUGAACCUAACCCGAACCCAACCCUAACCCGAAUUAAUUUUUUAUUAUAUAAUAUGGUAAAUGUUUGGGGUUAUAUUUGAAUUUAUAUUUUAAAAUUUUAGAUCUAAUGUAAUGUGUUUUGAAAUAUAGUAAACAAGUAAUAAUUGUUUCGGGAUUUGAGUUUCCAGGUUCAGGUUGGAGUUUUGGAUUUUUGGUCGAGUUUAAGUUCGGAUUUCGAAUUUGAUAGGUGGGUUCAGAUUUAGAUUUUUAAAAAUUUACUUCAAAUUCAGCCAGUUGACAUUCCUUCGUAUAGAGAUAUGUAUGAUUUAUAAGACAAAGGAUGAAAUUCAAUCCUUAGAUUACGUAAUUUAUAAAAAAUUUAUUAUAUGAUUUAUUUGUGAACAUAGCAUUUCUUUCGUUUUUUUGUUUUUUGUUUUUGUUUUUUUUUUUUUUUUGUGCUGCUUAAACAUGUCUGUUUCUCCCUACCAUAAAAAUCCAUAAUAGAUAUUUUAUCCCAGAAGCCAGAGAAUUAAGAUUCUCAUUUUAGAACAAAUAUGCAGAGCUUCGAAUUUCUGAUCUUCAAUGUAUAUUCACUUUAGAAAUCUAAUAAUCUGUCGACACCUCAAUAAGCGAGAAUCAAUGAGUGGAGUCGAAGUGACAGCAAAUUAAUGAUCUACAAAGCAAGAUCAGUGGAGAUAAAGUGACUUGGAAAAUGUCUCAUCAAGUGAUUUUUCUACAUCGACACAUAUUUACGUUGCUUUAUCUGUCGUUCAUGCUGCUUUGAAAUUUUGAAAAGCGAUAGCAAGUGAUCUACGAACGAGAAGAGUGCAGAAGAAAAAGUGUCGUGGAACAUAUCUCGUCAAAUGAUUUUUCUACUCCGACACGUUUUUAUACUGCAUUAUUUGAUGUUCGAUCACGUCGCUUUAAAACUUUUAAUCGAUUAGUUGAUAAAUAGUGACUAACACAGCCUCAAAAUAGAAACAAUCAAUCUCUGGUAAAUAUCUGUUGUGAUUCGAGUCGGUCACCCAUUAAAAAGAAUAUAUUUGAAUAAGGAACAUCUUAUAUUCUCUUAUUGCCUCCCACUAUAUAUAUCCGCCGUUUAAUGUGGAUUUAGACGAAAAAUUUCUAAAUUAGAACAGACCUUAAAGUUUCAGAUGCGGAGCGAAUUAUAUAGUUUUCCAAAUUAUUUCAACGAGUCCUCAAUGAAGUCGUGCUCAACGUAUUUGUGAAUCGAUCCAGCAGCUGGCACUACAAUAAAAACGGUCUAUAGCGACACUUUUAAAUGUAGGUAUAGGUUAAAAAAAAUAUUGCUGGCUAAAUUACCGAUACUUUUAAAAAGUGUUGCUAUAUGUGGGGUCGCUAGGUAUAUAGUGAUAGUUAAAGAGUGUCGCUGUAAUCUAAAAAAGUGCUAGUAAUUAGCAACACUUAUUUAAGCAUCUAGUAACCGCCGGAACUCUAUCUCGUUGGCUGCUGUGGCGAAGGAGGACGAGAGGGAAGGGCUACUCGUCUAGGAUUUCAGUGGAUUGAGUGAAGGGAGAAGGGGAGAUGGUAAUUAAUUUUUCUUUUUUUUUUCUUUUUUGUUUGGAAUCGCGCCAAAUGGGCUGGGUUGGGUGGGUUGAGUAUAGUAACCUUUUAUUUUUUGUUGGAUUCGGCUUUAUAUUUAGGCAUUAGAAUAUGUUUUUUUAAAUUUUAACAUAAAUGGGACACUUAGACAAAAGUGUCCUAAGUAUGUGUCCCUAUAACCUAAUUCUGUUGUAGUGUGGUGACAUUACGCUAUUUCUAUUGGUUAUUCAAUUCGCAUAUGACAUGGUAGACCUUGUCCAUGAAAUAAUUUUCUCUAUCAUGACACCAAAUGUUGCAAACCCCCACUCAAAAUUAAACAUAAAAGAGAAGGAAUUGUGACUAAAUAAGAAAAAAAAAAAAAAAAAGGCAAUUGGCUAUGAGUGGCUUGUAAGUGCAUGCUUUAAAGACUUAUUUUCACUGUGUUAUCAGAAUCCCUAUGCUGAGACUAUCACAAUCAAAUGAUGUUAAAUGCUCCCCACUUGCUGGAAAAUCAUUUGCAUAUCUUAUCAAAGAUUUUAAGUGUUAAAACUUGUCCCUCAAGUUCAAUUUUAGGCCUGAGAUUUGAAUCUUUGUAGUAAAAUUAUUACCAGCACGUAAGCAUCAUCCGCAAAGUUGUGCACCGUUUUCAAUCAGCUCGAAAAAUUUUACAUUGAAAAAGAACUACAACGUAAUACAUUGAUCGUAAAAUACUUUCAAAAAUCAGAAUGCUGAAUAUGCUAUAAAAGUUUGAGGACCCAAAUUAAUAAAAUUAGGCUAAACCUUGGUGGACAGUGGUGCAACAUAUCCAAAAAUUUAGUAUACAUGACUCUCUAUCUUUCUCCAUGCAUAUUUUUCAUGGUAGGACCAACCCAAGAAGAAAAAAUGAAAAAUCCAAAGAGAUAACUAUUGUCACCAUCAAGCUAAGUAGAUAAACAAGUAUACCAAAAAAAAAAAAAAAAUCCUUUUUUAAAAAAACUUUGAGAGAAACAAAAAGAAGCAAUUAAAAAAGAAAGGAAUCACAGGGUCCUAUGUGGCAUGCAAUGUGUGGCUAGCUCAUUUCUGCCACUUGUUUGUUCAUGAUUGGUUGUUGAGGCAAGAUUAGUUAAUUUCCUUUAGUUUAGUGUUUGUGAUCUUGUAGUGUACUUGUUGUGUGAUUUUGUGUUAUCCUCAAUUUGCAUAGCAAACCUCUCCCUUGAAAACACAAGGACUAUCUAAGUAUUUAUAUUACUUGGCUUCUGAAAUAGCUUAUUCUAUUAAAGAAGCAGAAACGACAUGCUUUGCAAAGUACAUGUUCAAGAGUUUUUAGUUGCUGCACUGCUGAAGAAAAACAAGUUAUAACUAGUGUUUUACUUUUGUUUGAAGCUUUGUUAAGGAAGAUUUUGAUGAAAAAGUUGUUAGGAUCUACUAAAAAAGCAAAAGCCGCAUAAUUGUAAUUGCAAAUUCUAGAGCUUCUGAUUGUUGUGAAACUGAAGAUGAAAAGAUUCUAAUAGAAAUGUUUUUAGGAUUUUUCGAACAGCAACUCCUAAAAGUACUUUUCUGGAAGCUCGUAGCGUGCCAAACUAAGGUAGAAAAACUAUAUAUGUUCUUGAACGCGUCGCUAACAUCCCCUCGCGUGUUCUAAGAGCUAUUAUAUUUUAAGAUAAGAGACAAUAUGAUCUCUCCAAGUUAAUAGAACAAUUCUUCUCUAACCAAAAAGGGUUAGAAAGUUGUUUAAGUUUCAUUAUAAAUUUUUAUUUUUGAAAAGUAAGUGAUUUGGUAGGUUGAUGAGCUCAAUAGAUAAUCUUUUUACACAUAGUGAAUGAAACUUUAGAGUUUAAUAAUAGUCGAGUACAAUUAUAUAAUCUUUGUGAUAUCAUUAAAUAGAAGUACAUUCUUUUGUAGCCUCUCAAUGUUAAAAUUGCUAUUUUGUUCUUUAAAAUUCAACUUUUUUUUUUCAAAUUUUUAUUGUGUAUUUGCAUUGAGUUACAUUACUCUCUCUGUUACAACCUGUUUGGUUACAUGAAUAUCUUGUUCAGCAUUGCUUGUUCUCUUCCAUUUCAUUAGACUAGAUCAAGAUAAAUAUGGUUAAAGAGAUGAAUAUUAGAGAUGGAAUUAUGAUGGCAAAACCCAAGAUAAUCUAGAUUUUUGCAGGGAUUUACUAGUCAUUUGGCUAAAUUACACUGUUACGUUCUCAAAUGUUGAGGCGCGUGACACUUAGGAAUGAAACACUGAAAUAUUGUAAUCAAAUUUUACAUUCUCAGUUCAAUUAAUUAAGUUGACUGAAUAAUGAUGUAUCACUGACGUGACAGUAACAUUGUAGUGUUGUAGUCAAUAUAUGGCAAUGUUACCACAUCAGCGACGCAUCAGCACUCAACCAACUAAAUUAGACUGUGAAAUUUUAAUUGCAAUCAUUUGAAUAAUUAAUUUGAACCAAAAUUAUAAUAAACUAGAAUUUGAAAAUUAAAGUGUCACUCGUCUUGUGGUUUGAGAAACCAAAAGAGAAGGUGUUAUCUAGCCUAGUUAUUUGGUAUAGUUUGCAUGCAAGGAGCAUUAUCUUAGCAAUUAUAUCUCUUUCGACUUAACAUGCCCAAUCUUAAUUAGCUUGGCAACUUNAUUACUUGGCUUCUGAAAUAGCUUAUUCUAUUAAAGAAGCAGAAACGACAUGCUUUGCAAAGGACAUGUUCAAGAGCUUUUAGUUGCCGCGCUACUGAAGAAAAAGAAGUUAUAACUAGUGUUUUACUUUUGUUUGAAGCUUUAAUUGUCAAGGAAGAUUUUGAUGAAAAAGUUGUUAGGGUCUAAUAAAAAAGCAAAAGCCGCAUAAUUGUAAUUGCAAAUUCGAGAGCUUCUGAUUGUUGUGAAACUGAAGCUGAAAAGAUUAUAAUAGAAAUGUUUUUAGGAUUUUUCGAACAACAACUCCUAAAAGUACUUUUCUGGAAGCUCGUAGCGUGCCAAACUAAGAUAGAAAAACUAUAUAUGUUCUUCAAAUCGUCGCUAAUAUCCCCUCGCGUGUUCUAAGAGCUAUUAUAUUUUAAGAUAAGAGACAAUAUGAUCUCUCCAAGUUAAUAGAACAAUUCUUUGCUAACCAAAAAGGGUUAGAAAGUUGUUUAAGUUUCAUUAUAAAUUUUUAUUUUUGAAAAGUAAGUGAUUUGGUAGGUUGAUGAAUUCAAUAGAUAAUAUUUUUACACAUAAUAUAGACAGUAGCUAGUGAAUGAAACUUUAGAGUUUAAUAAUAGUCAAGUACAAUUAUAUAAUCUUUGUGAUCUCAUUAAAUAGAAGUUCUUAAUUUCUUUUGUAGCCUCUUAAUGUUAAAAUUGCUAUUUUAUUCUUUAAAAUUUCACCUUUUUUCAAAUUUUUAUUGUGUUUGCAUUGAGUUACGAUUACUUUCUCUCUUUUACAACCUGUUUGGUUACAUGAAUCUCUUGUUCAGCAUUGCUUGUUCUCUUCCAUUUCAUUGGACUAGAUCAAGAUAAAUAUGGUUAAAGAGAUGAAUAUUAGAGAUGGAAUUAUAAUGGCAAAACCCAAGAUAAUCUAGAUUUUUGCAGGGAUUUAUUAGUUAUUUGGCUAAAUUACACUGUUAUGUUCUCAAAUGUUGAGGCGCGUGACACUUAGGAAUGAAACACUGAAAUAUUGUAAUCAAAUCUUACAUUCAGUUCAAUUAAUUAAGUUGACUGAAUAAUGAUGUAUCACUGACGUGACAAUAAUAUCGUAGUGUUGUAGUCAAUAUAUGACAAUGAUACCACAUCAGCGACGCAUCAGCAUUCAACCAACUAAAUUAAACUGUGAAAUUUUAAUUGCAAUAAUUUAAAUAAUUAAUUUGAACCAAAAUUAUAAUAAACUAGAAUUUGAAAAUUAAAGUGUCACUCGUCUUGUGGUUUGAGAAACCAAAAGAGAAGGUGUUAUCUAGCCUAGUUAUUUGGUACAGUUUGCAUGCAAGGAGCAUCAUCUUAGCAAUUAUAUCUCUUUCGACUUAACAUGCCCAAUCUUAAUUAGCUAGCAACUUGUUAAUUCAGUAACAAUUAAAGAUCUACAUGAGAAAAGGACACAACAAAUACAAAAUUGGCUAGUCUUACCCAAAUAUUUUAGAAACUAGUUUUGAAGGCUUACAAACUCAACUUUGGAGGACUAUAAUAAGAUUUUCUUUUGUUUUUCAGAGAGAUACAACAUGCUAUUCCCUUUUUUCUUUUUUCUUUUUUUUCUUUUGGUUAGAAAUGAACUCAGCUAGAAAUAUAAAGUAACAAUAUUUCGAACUUACCGACCGUCCCUAGAGCAAGUGGCAAAGGGCUUGGUGGUUGGUACUCGAGACCCAAGUUCGAAUCCUAGUUGAUUUACAUUUCCAGCUAAGUUUAUUUCUAAAUGAAAUAAACGAAGCGGGUAGCGUGCUACCUAUCUCUCCUCUAGUACUAAAAAUAAAUGAGUUUAGGGUUACAUCAAAUGUGAUCUCAUCUACAAAAAGUCUCCUCAUAAACUUGGAUUCUCUCCAUAUAGUAGAAAGGGAACACCAUUUUAUUUAAUGGUCUUAUUGAAUUAAAAAUAAGAACUAAUUGAACCUCCAUGAUAAGUGACAUAAACUGAACAAUGAGAAUACAGAUUUUUUUUUAAUCAGUUGGAUUACUUAGUUUCUUUUUUGAUAAUCUAUCAUCAUCAAAUCAGGCCCUAAUGACAAUGACAAUAAAACCUAAAUAAAAAAAAAUAAAUAAUUUGGCCCUAUUACCCUCUUCUUCUAAAAGAUUUAAAUAUUUUUUGACCCAGACAAUUAACCAAAUUGGACCUAAUACUUUUGACAUGACAAUUUAGAUUUUUGUGAGUAGUUUGAUUCGCAAUUACAUUAUGAAAGAGAUUUACCAAGCAGUUAAUAUUGGUCUGUAAACUAGCUCUCUUAUACAUGCAGUCUUGCAAGAUUAAUUGAUAUGAAACUAUCCAGAAAUAGUAACUGACCGUUGACAGUGGUGCAACAUAUCCAAAAAUUUAGUAUACAUGACUCUCUAUCUUUCUCCAUGCAUAUUUUUCAUGGUAGGACCAAGCCAAGAAGAAAAAAUGAAAAAUCCAAAGAGAUAACUAUUGUCACCAUCAAGCUAAGUAGAUAAACAAGUAUACCAAAAAAAAAAAAAAAUCCUUUUUUAAAAAAACUUUGAGAGAAACAAAAAGAAGCAAUUCAAAAAGAGAGGAAUCACAGGGUCCUAUGUGGCAUGCAAUGUGUGGCUAGCUCAUUUCUGCCACUUGUUUGUUCAUGAUUGGUUGUUGAGGCAAGAUUAGUUAAUUUCCUUUAGUUUAGUGUUUGUGAUCUUGUAGUGUACAUGUUGUGUGAUUUUGAGUUAUCCUCAAUUUGCAUAGCAAACCUCUCUCUUGAAAACACAAGGACUAUCUGAGUAUUAAUAUUACUUGGCUUCUGAAAUAGCUUAUUCUAUUAGAGAAGGAGAAACAACAUGCUUUGUAAAGUACAUGUUCAAGAGCUUUUAGUUGCCGUGCUACUGAAGAAAAACAAGUUAUAACUAGUGUUUUACUUUUGUUGGAAGCUUUGUUAAGGAAGAUUUUGAUGAAAAAGUUAUUAGGAUCUAAUAAAAAAGCAAAAGCCGCAUAAUUGUAAUUGCAAAUUCGAGAGCUUCUGAUUGUUGUGAAACUGAAGCUGAAAAGAUUCGAAUAGAAAUGUUUUAGGAUUUUUCGAACAACAACUCCUAAAAAUACUUUCUGGAAGCUCGUAGCGUGCCAAACUAAGGUAGAAAAACUAUAUAUGUUCUUGAACGCGUCGCUAAUAUCCCCUCGCGUGUUCUAAGAGCUAUUAUAUUUUAAGAUAAGAGACAAUAUGAUCUCUCCAAGUUAAUAGAAUAAUUCUUCUCUAACCAAAAAGGGUUAGAAAGUUGUUUAAGUUUCAUUAUAAAUUUUUAUUUUUGAAAAGUAAGUGAUUUGGUAGGUUGAUGAGCUCAAUAGAUAAUCUUUUUACACAUAAUAUAGACAGUAGCUAGUGAAUGAAACUUUAGAGUUUAAUAAUAGUCAAGUAAAAUUAUAUAUUAAUCUUUGUGAUCUCAAUAAAUGGAAGUACUUAAUUUCUUUUGUAGCCUCUUAAUGUUAAAAUUGCUAUUUUGUUCUUUAAAAUUUAACUUUUUUUUUCAAAUUUUUAUUGUGUUUGCAUUGAGUUACGUUACUCUCUCUUUUACAACCUGUUUGGUUACACAAAUAUCUUGUUCAGCAUUGCUUGUUCUCUUCCAUUUCGUUUGACUAGAUCAAGAUAAAUAUGGUUAAGAGAUGAAUAUUAGACAUGGAAUUAUAAUAGCAAAACCCAAGCUAAUCUAGAUUUUUGCAGGGAUUUAUUAGUUAUUUGGCUAAAUUACACGGUUCGUUAUCAAAUGUUGAGGCAUGUGACACUUAGGCGUGAAUCACUAAAAUAUUGUAAUCACAAGUCUUAUAGUUUAAUUAAGUUGAUUGAAUAAUAAUGUAUCACUGACAUGACAAUAAUAUUGUAGUGUUGUGGUUCAAUAUAUGGCAAUGACACCACAUCAGUAACGCAUCAGCACUCAACCAACUAAAUUAGACUGUGAAAUUUUAAUUGCAAUAAUUUAAAUAGUUAAUAUGAACCGAAAUUAUAAUAAACUAGCUAGAUUUUGAAAAUUAAAGUGUCACUCGUCUUGUGGUUUGAGAAACCAAAAGAGAAGGUGUUAUCUAGCCUAGUUAUUUGGUAUAGUUUGCAUGCAAGGAGCAUUAUCUUAGCAAUUAUAUCUCUUUCGACUUAACAUGCCCAAUCUUAAUUAGCUUGGCAACUUGUUAAUUUAGUAACAAUUAAAGAUCUACAUGAGAAAAGGACACAACAAAUACAAAAUUGGCUAGUCAUACACCCAAAUAUUUCAGAAUCUAGUUUUGAAGGCUUAAAACCUCAACUUUGGAGGACUAUAAUAAGAUUUAAUUUUUAUUUUUUUCAGAGAGAUACAGCAUGCUAUUCGCUUCUUUUUUUUUUCUUUUUCUUUUGGUUAGAAAUGAACUUAGCUCGAAAUAUAAAGUAACAACGCUUCGAAGUUGGGACCUUAGAAACUAGCUAUCAGACCCUUUGUCACUUGCGCUAGGCGCGGUCGGUAAUAAACUUCAAUUGUUUAGUUGUUACACUACUUAACUCACUCGACAAUUGUCCUGUGCUUGAAUUCUUAUUUGAUUGAACAAUAAAUAUAGAAACACUAUUCUUGGCAGCUUAAUUUUUUUCAGAGAAAGCAACUGUUUUACAUAAUAAUAAAAUAGGAGGUUGUAAGUUCAAAUCUCAGCCAACUUUUCAGACUUUUAUUAUGUCUUAAACCAGAUGUGAGGAGAAGCGUUGAAUAUUAAAAUUAACACAUCAUUCUCUAACAUCUUAAACUUGUUAGAAAAUAAUUUUGUACAUUAAUCAAAGUAAGUUUAACAAGCUUAUUAGAUUGAGAAAAGUAAAAGUUACAACUUGCAAGUAGUUUGAUGCCUCUAGUAUCUAAAAAUAAAUGAGUUUAGGGUUACAUCAAAUGUGAUCUCAUCUACCAAAAAGUCCUCUAAACUUGGAUUCUCUCCAUAGUAGAAAGGGACACAUUUUAUUUAACUGGUCUUUGAAUUAAAAAUAAGAAAUAAUGAACCUCCUAGUGACAUAAAUGAACCAAUGAGAAUGCAGAUUUUUUUACAUCAUUGGAUUACUUUAGUUUCUUUUUUGAAUCUAUCAAUCAUCAAAAUCAGGCCUAAUGAACAAUGACAUAAAACCCUAAAAAAAAAAAAAAAUGGCCCUAUUACCCUUCUUCUUCAUAAAGAUUAAUAUUUUUGACCCAGACAAUUAACCAAAUUGGACUAAUACUUUGACAUGAAAAUUAGAUUUUUUGCAGUAGUUUGAUUUGCGAUUAGCGUCACGAAAGAGAUUUACCAGGAGUUAAGAUUGGUAUGAUAAGACCAGCUCUUAUACCAUACGGUACUUGCAAGAUCAAUCUGAUAUGAAACUAUUCAGAAAUAAUCUUCACAACUGCAUUACAAUCGUGUUGUUUGCAUGAGAAUUGUUAAAAGGCUCGACAUUACGUACAAGUCAAUAACUUUAGCUAAAAGGAAGCGACGACACCUUCAUAUUUGUAUCCAAUAUGUGGCUAAUAUACUUAACCAGCAUUAUAUAUCCUUUUUUUUUUGUAGAAAUCUUAUGGAUAUUAUUAUUCAAUUAUAGGAGAAGCAGAAACUUACAAAGAAUCCUUGUUUUUUUUUUUUUUUUCUUAUCUAUACCUACCUAUACAUUAUUUCUCUUGGAGUUUGCCACGUGGCAAUUCCUCCUUCAUCCCUUCUUUUCACUCCAAAAUUUCUAUUCUCUAAUUAUUACUUCUCUGUAACGUCUGUCUCUUCGACUUUCCGUCUUAUUAAUUUUUUCCCUGUAACGUUUGCCUCUUCAGUUUUCCGUCUCAUUAAUUUCUUUUCUGUAACGUAUGUCUCUUUGGCUUCCCAUCUCAUUAAUUUCUUCUCUGUAACGUCGCUGCUUCGACUUCCCCCUUAUUAAUUUCUAUGUUCUAAGAGGCGUUGCCCGAGAAGCCCCUGGGCAUGGCAUAUGGCGUCCUCGACAACGACCUCGCCUACUACGUCCGCUCCAACCUCAAGCCUCGCAGGCGUGCCACCCUUGCCCUUGCCGUCAACGUCGAGUGAGUCGAACUCUAACCCUAGCCUUGAAUCUUCCUCCCUCGAUCUCGACCACUUAAAUUUGUAAUAUAUAGUUAUACAAAGCGUGUGUAUCCCUCUCCUCUAAUAGUCUCGGAGGACACAAAGUAUCAAUUAAAAUAUGGACUUGUUGAAAAGGGGUUGAAGGCACUGUGGUACUUCACGAAAUUAUCGGUGUUAGUAGAAAAUGUCCUAAAUGAGGAUACAAAGUGGUCCGAUUUUUAUGUAACAAAUUUUUUUCUCCUAUAAUUUUUUUUUUUAUCUUUUGUUGUUUUUCAUUGAAUUAUAAUUUUAUUUUAAAAUUUUUAAAGUAUUUUUUAUAUUAUUAAAUUUAAUCAAAUAUGAUUAUAUCGGCCGCAUCGCGCGGGUUCCUACACUAGUGAAACAAAAAGGUUGCUCAGAAACCUAGUCAUCUUAAUUUUUACUUUUCUUAUUAUUUUUUUGGCAUUAUAUUAUUAUGGGCCCAUCGCAAGGCCCAAUAACAAAUGGGCUGUAAUUUUGAUUGGAUCAUGACAACAUUAUGGACUUGGUGAAAAUUUACAGAGAGAUUGAAAUUUGUAUAAUAUAAUGAGGAAAAUGUACAAUGGCCCCAAAACUUUAGCAUUUUUGCAAACAGAUCUAUGAACUUUUAUAUUUAGCAAUGAGAAUAUGAUAAUUCCAAACUUUUGCACUUUUACAUUAUAUAUAUUGCUAAAUUAUAGAAAGCCCCUUUGCACUUUAAUUAGCCCCGUUCUCAAUUACCCUCCACAAUAAAAAUUGCAUCAAUUGUCAUUCUAUACUUUGUCGCUAUUUCGGAUAGAUCCAAAAAGUUUAGAAAAUUGGCAAAUUAGACUAUAAAACUUUACAAAAAAAUAAGUUGGCAUAUCACAUUGUUCAACAUCUUAACAUAUAUUCAUUUGCAACUCAAAAAAUCUAUUAAAAAAGUAGAUAAAUGAAAUCUCUUAUAUUGCUAAUACUAUCAAAAUUGAUAGUUUAUUGAGUAAUUUAUUUAAUUUAUAUGGUUCAAUUGUAUUACUUAUUGAUAACUUUAUUUAUAAAUUUAUUUUUAUAACUUUUUAUAAUGUUUUAUAAAAAUAUUCCAAAUAAUUAAGCCUAUUUGAGAUAUUAACAAAAUAUAGGACAAUAAUUGAUACAAUUUUUUAUAUCAGGGGUGCAACCGAGACAAACGCUAAAGCGCAAGGGUAUAUUUUUUAUAAUUUAGCCAAUAUAUAGUUGAGCGAGGGUUGUCAACGGGUUGGAUUCAAAGUAGCUCUUUCAAAACCCGAAUCCGAACUCGAAGGAUUAUGAAAAUUCAUAUCCAAACUCGACCACCACCAAAAAUCCAAAGCCUGAGCACGAACCUGAAAAUCUAAACCCAAAAUAAUUAUUUUUCUUUAUCAUAUUUCAAAAUAUAUUAUAUUAAAAUUUAAAAUUCAAAAACACAAGUGUAAAUAUAGAACAAAACAUUAAUAUACAUUAUGUAAUAUAAAAUGAAUUCAGGUUCGGAUUGAAUAGCGACAAAAUUCAAAUCUAAAUUCAAAUCCACCGAAUUUUUAUAUUUUGUACUCAUAUUCGAAUCAUAUCGGUUUAGCAUGAGAUAAACCAACUCUGUUCGGAUUCGAAUUCGGAUAAAAUUUAAGGUAAUCCUACUUGUGCUAAACCGAUAUUGUAUAGUUGAGGGGGCUAGUUCAAAAUAUGCUAUAGUUGAGGGGUCUCCAUACAUUUUUACCGAGAGAAUACGAUUUCAAUGGAGUGCGAAAACGAAGGGGAUAACAAUGGCCUCAUCCUACACAAUGUGCUCCGCGAAGUUAUCUCCCUCCCCUUCUCCACCCCUCUCCUCCCAUGGCGUCGUCGUCGCGCUCCUCCCCUCUCCUCCCAUGGCGUCGCUCUCCUUCGCCUCCUCCAUAUCCCUCUCCAACCUCCCUCUCCCCCUCCGCACCCACCACCACCCUCCUCCCACUCCUCCCACUCCUACCGCUCCCACACUCUUCGCCGCAGCGGCCUACGGCGCGAAACCCUACAAGGUACCGCUUUUUACCUGCUCGAUCACCGUUUUCGAUCAGUUUGGGGGCGAGACCCAUGUCUUCGAUCCUCGUUUCUAGGGUUCGGUGAAGCGGCUUUGGAGCCCGCGGGGGAAGAAGAGCGUCAAGAGGAAGAGGAAGAAGAAGCAGCAGCUUCGGCUCUCGAAAAUGGUCGGCCCCUUUAUCCGAUCCCUCUUGCGUGGUUUGAUUUGGCUUGGUAAUUAUAAUAGUCGUGCUGAUUUUAAGAAGCUUCUAGUGGCAUUGUGUUAUGGCGAAAAGAAUCCGAUUUUUUUGGUGAUUUUUUUGGAUUUGGUGAGAAGGAUGCGUAGAUUAGUCAAAUUAUUGGUUUAGAGUAAUGAAUUGUAGAUGCUGCGAUUCUAGAGAAUUAACAUUGUGGGUGUUUGAUGCUGCAUUUGCUCAAAUCCUACAUAAUUAUGAACUUUUUAGUUAUUUUCUUGGGAAUCAAAUUGAUAUAUUUACUUUGAUUAAACUGAGGGUUUGUUAAUGUUCAAUUGAUUGCUACAGAAUAUAGCCAUUAAAACUGCUUUUAAUUUUUAUAGCUGAUUUUUUUGGUUUCCUCUUUCGUGGUUUGAUUUGGUCUAGUAAUUAUAAUAAUCGUGUUGAUUUGAAGGUUCUAGUGGCAUUGUGUUAUGGUGAAAAAAAAGUUCGAUUUUUGUCGUGGUUUUAUUGAAUUUUAUGAGAAGUAUUUGUAGAUUGGUCAAAUCAUUGGUUUGGAGUAAUGAAUUGUAGAUGCUGCGAUUUUAGAGAAUUAACAUUGUGGGUGUCUGAUGCUGCAUUUGCUCAAAAGGUACAUAUUUGUGAAUUUUUUUCAUUGAUUUUUUGGUAAUCAAAUUGAUGUGUUUAGUUUGAUUAAACUGACGAUUGUGUUAAUGUUCAAUUGACUGCGACGGAAUAUAGCCAUUAAAACUACUUUUGAUGUUUAUAGCUGAUUUUUGUUUUUUGGUUUCCUUUUCCUAUUCAUGCGAAUGUCAUUACUUAUGCUUAUGUAUACUGUGCUUGCUAUUGUCAUUAUAUUGGGAACAAACAAGCAGUAUUUGCUUUGAUAUGAUAAAGAACAACUGCAGAAUUUGUUGAUGUUAAAUAAGAUGAAAUUAUGUAAGACAGGUCGAAUCCUUGUACUUGUUAUCUAUUGAUAAUUUAAGGAUGAUUCAAAUUUCUUUCACAAUAUAAUUGUGUUGAGGCUAGCAUAAUUACAUUACGAAAACUUCUCCUGAAUAAUUGUGGUUGGUGUGCUUACUAUGUGGGUGAGGUUUUAUAGAACAUAAACCAUGGGAGACAAUAAUUUGGUGGCUGAAAUAUAGAUGGUUUAAAUAUGUAUGCAACAGGGGUAGUUCCGUUGAAAAUUUUCCAUGAUCAAGAUGUGUUGGUUUUGGAAUGAUAAAGUUAAUUUUCUGUAGUUUACUUACUAAUGUUUCUCAUGCUUCGAGUUUGGAUGGGAAUGUUGAAACUUGAGAGUGGGUGAGAAGUAAAUAAACUGGCUGUGUUUAUGAUUCAAAAUGUUGGGUUGUUGGAAAAUAAUGUUUUUUAAAACUAUAUACAUACAUAUGCGCAUGAUAAAAAAAAAAUGUUGAGAUUGGUGUCUCGCUUUGCUGGUAAAGAUGAUUUAAGGAAAUAUAGCUUUGUAGCAAAUUAGUAGAACAAUUGGAGAAUUUUAACAUGAGGAAGUUGUUUAGGAUAUUACAAUACAUCAUAUCAACAAAAACUUACUAGCGUACAAAUCAGGAGUGAUUCCUUCCAACAAGAAGGUAUCACAAGAGGAUGGGAACGUAAAAGCAAUGUCCUGUAACUUGAAUAAUGAUUCUAUAUCUAACUACACUGUAAUCUUUAAAUUAAUAUUGAAGUGAAUAAGUAAUGUAUUACAAUUCAAAUUGGGCUACAAGUUACGCCUCAUAUCCAAUCCAAGUGUAUCAAUUUAUUUCUAUUGAACAAAGGUCGGGGUUGAUAUGCUAUUGUAGACAUUCGAAACAUGAGUGUUGCCUUCUAGUAAACCAAUUAGUUGACUCUUUUAAUCCUUUUUUCAGCUUCUACUUUCAGCUUCUACUUUCAGCUGCAGUUCACUUUAAUACAUCAUAUGGCAAACAAAAAACAAGUCCGGAUCCUCUUCUGCUUUGGGUGCUAAAAUGAGAUUCUGUAAUCCUGCUUUGGAUACUAAAACAAUAGUUUAACCUCCAUCAUUUCUCUAGUACUAUCCUUUAUUGCAGCCAUGAACGGUUUGAUGCUAUCCAUGAAGUGUCAUCCUUUAACUUGGUUUCUUUAAAUGUUAUUACAGUUAAACUACAUUAUGUAAGUAGAGAUAUAGUCACUAGUAUCAGUAUAUAAUCUUGGAAAUGUGUCUUGGGCCUUGUUUUUUAACAUAGUUCUUCUUAGUCUUGAAGUACAAGAUAAUUGAGUCUUCUUCUAAUCAACUAAGGUUCAUUUGCACUGUAAGUACGAGACAUAAACAUUGAGCAACACAGGGAUUGAUUUAUGAAUAGAAAUUGAUGGCUAAUUAUUUUUCGAACUUCUUCCUCAAUCCUCAUCUAUUUUCUUCUUUCUAUUUGGCAACUGUUAUGUUUCAGAUUUUACAUCUCCAAGACAAUCUGGCAGAUUUCUUUUUACUCUUCUUCACCUCAAAUUGAAAAAAAAUUGAAGUGUUCUUUCUCUUCUCAUUCUGUAUAUGUGUCUAAGUCCAGCUAACCCCGGUUACGCUUUCUCUUUUUGUAGUCAUAGAUUUGUCUGGAUUCAAAAAGGUCCAGAUCUAGAUAUUCUUAAUAACUAAUAAAAUUUUAGCAGUGAUCAACUGGACAUAAGAGACCUACUAAAGAUAUGUCCAUUUUUUCCAAUUCGUCCAUAUUUACAUUCAUGUAAAUCUCCUACACCGACAAGAUCGAACAUGUUGUUGAUAAAAAUGCAGCUAGGUAGUAAGAAGAACAAAAUGACAGAGAUUAAAAUUUAUGGCAUUCUGAUCUCAAAUCUAUUGUGAGCUUAUUUUAUUACCUGUUCUUUAGUUCCAUGAUAACAUCCAUAAUUUCUGUUGACGGGGUAUUUAGUUAGCAUCUCUUUAAGUAUUCUGCAACCAUAAAUUGAUAACACAUAAAUUAAAUGUGAAUUUGAAAUGGAUCGAACCCCUUAUCUAUGAUGCUGUAUCUGACAUUACACAAGUUGGAUCUUAUAGCAGAUGAGGUUCGUUUUGGACAACGAGCCCUAGGGGUCGCAUUAAUUUGUCUAAACCAGAUACAGAUAUGGAUUAUAUUUCAGAUGCAAAGUAAAGAACCAGUUUCGUUAAAACUGGAGGUACAAACCAGAUAAUAAGUGGCUGGCUACUUAGUUUUAAAUGAAGCAUCAGACUUUUAACUUGCGGAAGGUUACGUAAAUUAGUUGGAAAAGAUACAAUUAGUCACCAUUAUGGAAAACUAUUACUAAAGUGAAAUGUGUCUCAGUUUGCUCAACUCCAAUAUGUGUCUCUCAUGUUCAUCAAAUGCUCCAUUGUUAUCCCUGAUUACUAGUGUUGAAAUAACUGCUCUUCAAACAUGGGUAGAUGUUCAUUGAAAACCUUUGUUUUUCUUCUUUCCGUUCUAUCUUUAUUUCUGUUAGCACAAACGACUAUGGUAAUGUGAUUGGUGAUUGUCCUUUAAUUUUUCGACUCAUUUAGCUGAUCCAGUGACUCAUGAUUAACCAGAUCCCUUCUUUAUAUGUUUUAGUGUAGUACUUAGCCAUAAUUAGUUCAUGUAUUUUGAGGAAAAUGAGUGCGUAGUGCACUCAAAUUCCUUUCAUUAACCUUAAAAACCAAUUUCAUUUGGUGAACUGAGAUGUAAGCUUCAAGCUUGGUAUAUAUUAUUGAGUAAUCCAGUUUAUAGUAUUGGAGUUUUAGUUCUAAUGUUUCACCCUGCACAAAAUUUGAUGAUUUGGUUCACUUGGAAGAGUAUUUGCAAAUAAAAAAACUAUAAUCAAUCAUUCUCAUGUGCAUUUGACCAAUACUUUUUUAAUUUUUGUAUAUGCUACAUUACAUUAAGAAAAAAACAUAGAGAGAGACUCAUGAACUACAUCUUAUAGGCUUAUAGCCCUAAUCCAUUUAGGAGAUGUAGCAUAUAAAAGAUUGUAUAAAUAUUGUCACAUGUAUUAGACUCUACCAAUGACCAGUGUGAAACAGAGAAUUGUUUGUUUUUCAAGGAAUUAUUAUAUAUGUUGGGAAAUUACCUAAUAUUCCUUACUUAUUUAAGCAUUUUGAUAUUAGAGAAAAAGAGAAAAGUGCACUCUCAUCUCUAAUUUUUAAUUUAGGUAUACGAUGUAUCGUAGUUGCUAAUGAUACUUUUUAGGCUCAAAGUAGAGCACACGCAUCUGAGCCAUUCACUGUAAGAGUGUUCAUGCAAAGGUGUGCAAAGCGAACUUCUUUUAAAAAGCAACUAAUCUUUAGAUUAUUUUAUAUAUAUAUAUAUAUAUAUAUGGGACUUGGAUCCUAAACAACCUAGUUCGUAACUUAUUGGACUUGAAUUUGCAUGCUAUGAUUCAGUCAGAUUUGAAUUUGGAUUCAGAUUCAUUAUUUACCCGACCCACUAAUGCCCCUAAUAUAUGUUAGUUGUUUCAAUAACAAAGUAUACAUAUAUAUACUUUUAGUACAUCUAUGAAAAGGAUUGAAGUUAUAUAAAAAUAAUAGCCCAUAUAAAGAAGCAAUAUAUGGUUUAGUGCGCUCAUACCAAAUGAUUCUAUUUAAAAGUAGAUGCAAGCAUGGCUAUUCUCUCAGCAUAACUUUAGGGGGGAAUAUUCCAUAUUCCUCCUAAUCCUAUGUAUAUAUAUUAAGAAUAAAAUGUAUCCUACCAAUCAUUGUUGUACAUAACUAAUUAAUCCCUUACGUUCUUAUUCAAUAGGAUUAGUUUGUUACUUGUGUAAACCUAGGCUCUGUUUGGGUGUUGGAAUAAGAUAUGUAAUGAUACUUUAUUCCGUAUAAUUUUUUUUUUAUAUGAUUGGAAGUUAGUUGCUUAAUUUUAAAUUUUUUUUAAAAUCAUAGUAUUUAUGACUUAGUAAGAUAGCAUAUUUUACCAACGAAGUCAUUUAUUUUAUAUCGAAAACUAAUUUAGAGAUCGAAUAUGGUGUUCAUUCUAAAUGUAUAAUACGACAUGCUUCUUAAGUAAAUUAAAAAAAAAAAUACACCGAAUAAGAUGUUUAUACAUGAUCUUAUUUUUUUGUACUUUAAAUGGAAUUGGAUUUAGGAUGUGAAGAGAGAGGUUAUGCUUUGGCUCUUUGUGUAAUGCAAAACUUUAAUUUUGAUUGGAGUAAACAAAGAGAGAGAAAGAGAGAGACAGAAUAAGAGUAGAAGCUUCAAAUUAGAGAGUCCGAUUAUGCCAUUUAAAAGCUCGAGUAAAUGCAGUUCGAGCUCAAUGGCAUCGCUUAUAUCAUAUGUAAAAAUUCUUUUUUGUAACAGUCCAUGUCAUGUAACAUAGUGCAGGAUAUAAUUUGAAGCAAGGGUAAUUUUAUGUUAAACAAUAGAAAAACCUCAAAUAUCUUUUUAGUAGUUUGUUGUUUUUUUUAAUUUAAUACUCUAAUAAUUUUAACUAUUUCAUAACUACUCUGUGGUAUUACUUCUCAUUUUUCAUUAUAAUUUUUAUUAAUUUUUUCAUUAAAUUCAUCACGUAGCGCGGUUGUGCGUCAGAAUUAUUCUACAAAUAUUGAUAAAAAAGACAUGAUAGGUUGGUUCUCAUAAGCAAAAAAGUAACGAUCCACGACGCAUGUGCGGAGCUCGCGACUGUUUUUGCAGAAAAAAUUAAUGAAGGGUAUAAUUCAAAAUAAAUAUAAAAAUCAUAUGAAGGGUAUAAUUCAAAAUAAAUAUAAAAAUCAUAUGUUAUUUUUAUAGGGUACUAAAAUAAAAAUGCAGUAAAUCAAAAAAAAAAAAAUAUCUGAAGCUUUUCUAAAUAAUAAUAAGGAAAAAAAAUUUAAAAUGACGUGGCACUUCGGCCACGUGGGCCCCACGCACCACCUCAUUACGCACCCAGUGGACAGUUUGACUCGUAGGAUUCCAUCAUCCUGAUCGGACGGCUACCAACGACUCUAUCCCUAUCAUGGGUGACCAAAAAAGCGUCCUAAAAAAAGUUAAAAUUUGUAAAAAUAAAAAUAAAAAUAAAAAUAAUAAAAAUAGUAAUAAUAAUAAAAUAAAUAAUAAUAGUAAAAUUCAAAAAGCGUAGCAACUUGUCGUUUUUCACUGCGUACUCAAGCACGCGGGGAUAUCAACCCCUCGUGAGUAGUAGUUUAAUCCACACUCGAAAAGUGACUACAAAUAUUGACUCCAUAAAUACUUUUAUUAUUAUUUUUAUUAUUAUUAUUUGUAGCUAAUUUUUACAAAUAGUUGGUAAAAGUUUGUGGAGACACCUUCAAUUAUAGGAUAAUUUGAAAUCGACCCUCUAACUUUGUUUGUUUGAUGCCUCUUGAUUCUUAAUUAUUCUAUUUUAAGUUGUAUAAGGGAUUUUUUUUUCUCUCGGUAAUUUCAUAUGGGAUUGGUGAUAUAUAUAUAUAUAUAUAUAUAUAUAUAUAAAAUAGGGAAAAAAAAUUUCUUACAUUAGAAAUAUAGUUGGAAUUAAUGGCUUCAUUAGCUAUUAGGUGUUGAAAUAGAAAAAAAUGAGUUAAAACUGGUAAAAUAGUAAACUUUAUUAUGAAUAAUAUUAAAUUUAGUGAAAAUUUUCAUUAGUUUGAUGUCAGUCCCUUAAAACUAGUUGAAAGUGAUCAAUAAAGAAAAUUGAAGUGAAAAAGACAAAAUUACAGGGGUCAACUUGAAAAGUGUCAAUCAUUGAAGGGGAUUUCUAAACUAUUUUUUAUCUUAUUUGUUAUAAGAAAAAAAAGAAAAACUACCAGUAUACUAUAAAAAGGAUAUAAAUCUUACAUCUCAUCCAUCCAAUAAAUAAAAUAUCACUCACUAAGCACCUGAUGUAAUUNUAUAUAUAUAUAUAUAUUAAAUUAUAAUUUAAAAAAUAAAAAUAAAAAUUUUAAAAUAAAAAAUGGUGCACCGGGUGCACCAAAAAAAAUCCUGCUGCUUCCCUUGCUGGGAGAGCAAAAGGAGCGAUGGGCCCCGCAUGAGUUGGGUGCCACACGGCACCCAUCCGGAAGUGGCUCGAAACACAUGGCACCCAUCUAGGGUAUCCCUAAAGUAAAUUUCAUGGACACAAUGUCCAUAAAAUUUUUGUCCCAUGUAUAGUGAGAGCUCUCAAAGUCCUAUAUCAAUAUUCUGAGCAUUAACUUAUUGAAAUUUCUAAAACAAUUGAACGACACAACAAUUAAGCUCGACACAGGAUGCUAGCUCCAAAAGAGGUAGUCGAUAGGUAUUGUGUGUGAGGUCGAGAUGGUCGCAAACGAACUAAAGUAAGUUUAAGUUUGACGCAAAGGACACUUACGUGAGGAAAGAGGUUGGGGGCUUAUUUUUUUCACCAAAAAUAGGCUUCGAGUAAAAAAUUAUUUCUCUUCUGCUGUCUGCUUUUGUUUGGCAAUAAGUGAACGGCGUUAAAACUAUAGUUUCUACAUAAACAAUAGAUAAUUUAAUAAAUUAAUAAAUUAUAAUAUAAUAAAUAAAAAAUAAUAUAAUUGUAUCCCUAUAUAACUAAAAAAAAUAAUUUAAAACAAAGAAAUUAAUUUUUUAUACCUAAAUUAUAAUAAAACAAUAAUAAAACCAUGGUCUUUUUUUCAAUUUAGCCCCCUGGCAAAUUUUUAUUUUAAAAAUAGCACUGUCAAAAUUUAAUUUACAAAAAUGACCCUGGUCGGGUGCCACGUCAGCGCCACGCGGGCAGGACUGAGGCCAGUGUGUUAAGUUGAACACGGUCAAUGAUUCACCAUGUUUCAUAUUUAUAUUCAUUUUCUUCUCUUUUAGGGAUGCCAACGAGUCGGGUUUGAAUCGGAUUUUUAAAAAUCCGAAAUCGAAUCCGAAAAUCAAAUUAAAAUCUGAACACGAAUCCGAGCCCGACGGAUUUUAAAAAUUCAUACCCAUAUCCAUAUAUUAAAGUUAUAUGGGUAUGAAUUUUUAAAACCCGCCGGAUUCGGAGAUCCAAAUCCGACCCAUUGACAUCCCUAAAAGAGAAAACAUGGAAUAUAAAUAUGAAACAUGGUGAAUCAUUCAUCGUGUUUGAACACGGUGAAUAGUUUACCGUGUUCAACUUAACACACUGGACCCAGCCCUGCCCGCGUGGUGCUGACGUGGCGCCUGCGUGGCAAGAUCAGGACUAUUUUUGCAAAUUAAAUUUUGACAGGAUUAUUUUUAAAAUAAAAUUUUUUCAUAGGGCCAUUUGCAAAAAAAGCCUUAAAAUCAUGUAAUAAAAGAAAUCAGUAAUACUAAACUAAUCAAUUUUUAUAAUAUUUUAAAUAUGCAAAUUAACUGAAUAAAAGCGAUACUAUAACUUAGCUGAUCAAUUUUCAUUACAUUAAUCGAGCAUUCCUAACGCAAGUAGUAAAGGACUUGAUAGUUGAUACCCGACGUCCUAAAUUCGAAAUAUAAAUUGCUUCACAUUUCCAGCUAAGUUUAUUUUUAAAAGAAAUAAACGAAACGGAUAGCAUGUUACCUUUCUCUGACUAAAUGAGAGAGUAACUAAAUAUAACUAGUAUUUACACAUUAUAUUAUUUUAUUUUUUUUAAUUAUUAAAGUCAAUUAUCAAUUAUAUUAUUUUGGAGUAACUCGAGCUUCGACUGUAUCUUCUUCUGACAAAUAAAAUAAUUUUUUACAGCAGAAGAUAACUUUACUCUUUUCCACCAUUCGUUCAAACAAACUGGCCCAAGGGAUCAAAGUGAACCAAAAAAAAAAAAAAAAAAAAAAAAAAAAAAAAUGCAAAUAGGAUAUUCAUGCAAUUAACUUUUACUAAAUAGUAUUACACCGAAUUGAAAGGGGAAAAUAAAAAAAAAUAAUAUAACUUAUUACAGUCCAAAAUUGGGAACAUGACGUGGGCCCCACAAAAGAGUGGGUCCCACUUCCUUCAAAAAAGUACAUGCUUCGAAUGGAAUCUCAUUAGGUCAGAGCCGAUUCCUCCCCCCCCCAAACCAAAAAAAAAAAAAAAAAAAAAAAAAAAAAAAAAAAAAAAAACGUAGAAAAGGGGAACGCUAACCAUAGCGAGGAAACGCGUUUCGCGCGCUCGCCGAGCGCAGGGGAAACGGUUUCCGCUCCCCGCCCCACCCCGGGAACGCGUUUCGGCCCGGUGCUCCGCGUGACACUCACGUGGGUCCCGCUCAGCCAAUGAGGGCUUCCCUCUACGCCUGGUGUCGUCGCCUGGAGAAAUUGUUCCGUAGACCGGUCUACCAGUCAUCAUUGGACCGGUAUUCGAGGUGGAUAUUAUUUGCAUAUGUGCUUUGCGUAGAAUCUUUUCAAUGUAAGAAACAACUCCGCUCUCCGCUUAGUACAAAAUAUUUUAUUUAGUACACAUCUGAUGAAAAGAGACAUGUUUUUCUACCCUUUAACAGUUACUCGUGGACAAACUGAGAGUACUGAUAAUAAAGAACUGAAACCAAACAGUACUUUUUAACUGGCCAAUAUUACUAAAUAAUCAAUCAGCUGAUCUAAUUUGUAUGAAAUUUAGAGAAUAUAUAAUUUAUAAUACGAUACGAAAUAUUUAAAUAUUAAAAACUAUAAUUGUAACUGUUUUCUAGCUAACAUAUUUUUGAAAUUAAUCAGCAAGUCCCUUGAAACAUUACUAUGUAAAAAUAUAAUAUAAUAUUUUAAUUAUUGGCACAAUACUAAUCACAAUACUGCCGUCUCUGAUACUUUAAUAUUUAAUAAACUAAAUCAAAUUAUACAUAUUUACUGAAAUAUCCAAAAAUUCGAGCAAAAAAUUAUAAUAAAUUGAACUUUGAGGAUCAAAACGUCACACUUUGUAUAGUUUCAGGGUCAAACUCGCAAUUUAUCCCUAAAAUUGUAAGGGGGUUUUUGGGGUGAAAAAGAGGGGACCGGUCUAUGGCUGACGUGGUGGACUUUAUCGGGUCUAUGUAGUAGUCUUCACCCGUCGGCAAGCGGAAAACUUCCGACGCGUACGCAUAAAUAUUUCUACGAGACCGUCGAAUGAGCUGUCAAAAUCAUCUGCUAAGGGCAUCAAAACCGUUGGAUUUAAAGUCCAAGGACGCGUGUCCGCAUAGAAAACCCUGUGCUUACGCCCCUUAUAGCGUAACGGUGAAAAUAGACGGUUAUUAUUAUUAGAUUAAUACAAUAAUUGCAUAUUUUAAUGGUGCAAAUCUUAGAGAUAGUUACAAUUUCAUUGUAUUUGUAAAUAUAUGCGAAUUCAAAUUCGGCGUUUGGUUCGAAAUAUUUAAAUUUAAAUUGCUACAGUUGAAACUGUAUCAACUGUAGCAGAUGAGAAAAGUAAAUUUAAACUAGAAAUAAACUUAAUUACCUCUUUAAUUAAUUACUUUUUUAAUAAAAAUUUUACAAAAACACAUUUCUUAACUACAUGUCAUUAAAUAAAUUAUUUAUAAUUGAAAAAUUAUUGCUUUAUUGAUCAAGAAAAUAAAUGAUGGUGAUGAUAUGAUGGUCCCUUCGAUCACUGGAUAAAUGAUAUUAAAAAAAAAUUAUGAAAUUUAUUUUCUAAAUACUUUAAAUACUUUGGAUCAAAUUUAAUAAAAUCGAUCGUCAAUUUAGAAGUCUCAAUAUCAAAAACAACUUGAUAGCUGAAGGUCAUCUUGUUUCUAAAAGCAAACAGAUCUCUAUCUCUAUAUAUAGGGGGGAUAAUUUUUUGAUGUGAUACAAUAAUACUAUUUUAAUAUGAAACAAAAUUGCUACAAAAUUUUCAAAAAAUAAUUUUUAAUAAUAUUUGAGGUUGAAUUAUGAACAAUUAUUUGUUGAGGUUCUUAAAAUGGCCCAACCAACCUAACUGUGAACCCUAAUUGUCACUCUUUAUGGGAGCCAAGGGCAUUGAACUACAUAUUAUUUAUGCAUGAGGUAAUAAUAAUACUUAAUUAUUAUAAUUGAACCAACAAAUAAGAACAAAAAGUACAAACCCUCUAUAAAUAAAUAAAUAAUAAAUAAAUAUAUAUAUAUAUAUAUAUAUAAUAUAUAUAUAUAUAUAUAUAUUAUAUAUAUAUAUAUAUAGAAUUAGUUUUUAUACUAUCUAUAGUACCGGAGCUUCAGUACUAAGUUUUGUUUUCGAUCUUAGGGUGUUCAAAUUAAUGAUCCUACCGUUAAAUAUGAUCUAGGGUAUAUGAAGUUUUUAGAAAUAAAAUUUUAUUUUUUUCAACAUCGUUUAUUAGUAAAUAAAUUAUGUCAAAAUAGACGGUGAAAUUGAAUAAUCUUAAAAAUUGAGCAUAGGACUUUUAAAUUCA